Molecule: long non-coding RNA, 333 nt
Filed under: Rattus norvegicus (Norway rat)
Lineage: Eukaryota; Metazoa; Chordata; Mammalia; Rodentia; Muridae
Description: long non-coding RNA NONRATT009660
Source: RNAcentral
GAUGAAUUCUCCGAAAAUAGGUCCAGUGUAUCUAAGGCAUCCAUAUCGCCUUCAAAUGUCUCUGCUUUGGAACCUCAGACAGAAAUGGGCAGCAUAGUUAAAUCCAAAUCACUUACGAAAGAAGCAGAGAAAAAACUUCCUUCUGACACAGAGAAAGAGGACAGAUCCCUGUCAGCUGUAUUGUCAGCAGAGCUGAGUAAAACUUCAGGUAAUAAUCUAUGCACUGUCUCACCAACUUCUCGGCUUGCUAUGGAAUGCAGAUAACAUUUUAUGACAUAACAUUUCUGGGGUCUAAUGUAUCACGUGAUGAGAAUCUUCAGUUUUAGUUCUUUU